This 545-nucleotide ribosomal RNA is filed under the name Clostridioides difficile. RNAcentral describes it as "bacterial LSU rRNA". It matches the Rfam family "Bacterial large subunit ribosomal RNA", at positions 2378 to 2925 of the family's 2925-position model. Lineage: Bacteria; Bacillati; Bacillota; Clostridia; Peptostreptococcales; Peptostreptococcaceae. The record is from RNAcentral.
AGACAUACAGGUCGAGCAAGGAUGAAAAUCGGACUUAGUGAUCCGGUGGUUCUGCGUGGAAGGGCCAUCGCUCAACGGAUAAAAGCUACCCUGGGGAUAACAGGCUUAUCUCCCCCAAGAGUCCACAUCGACGGGGAGGUUUGGCACCUCGAUGUCGGCUCAUCACAUCCUGGGGCUGUAGUAGGUCCCAAGGGUUGGGCUGUUCGCCCAUUAAAGUGGUACGCGAGCUGGGUUCAGAACGUCGUGAGACAGUUCGGUCCCUAUCCGUCGCAGGCGUAGGAAAUUUGAGAAGACCUGUCCUUAGUACGAGAGGACCGGGAUGGACAUACCUCUGGUGUACCAGUUGUCCUGCCAAGGGCAUGGCUGGGUAGCUAUGUACGGAAUGGAUAAGCGCUGAAAGCAUCUAAGCGCGAAGCCAACUUCAAGAUAAGAUUUCCCACCGCAAGGGUAAGACCCCAGAAAGACUAUCUGGUUGAUAGGUCGAAGGUGUAAGUGCAGCAAUGUAUUUAGCUUAUCGAUACUAAUAGGUCGAGGACUUGACCAAU